Molecule: ribosomal RNA, 468 nt
Filed under: uncultured bacterium
Lineage: Bacteria
Description: partial 16S ribosomal RNA
Rfam family: Bacterial small subunit ribosomal RNA
Source: RNAcentral
GACGAACGCUGGCGGCGUGCUUAACACAUGCAAGUCGAACGGAAAGGCCCUGCUUUUGUGGGGUGCUCGAGUGGCGAACGGGUGAGUAACACGUGAGUAACCUGCCCUUGACUUUGGGAUAACUUCAGGAAACUGGGGCUAAUACCGGAUAGGAGCUCCUGCUGCAUGGUGGGGGUUGGAAAGUUUCGGCGGUUGGGGAUGGACUCGCGGCUUAUCAGCUUGUUGGUGGGGGAGUGGCUUACCAAGGCUUUGACGGGUAGCCGGCCUGAGAGGGUGACCGGCCACAUUGGGACUGCGAUACGGCCCAGACUCCUACGGGAGGCAGCAGGGGGGAAUAUUGCACAAUGGGCGGAAGCCUGAUGCAGCAACGCCGCGUGCGGGAUGACGGCCUUCGGGUUGUAAACCGCUUUCGCCUGUGACGAAGCGUGAGUGACGGUAAUGGGUAAAGAAGCACCGGCUAACUACGUG